GAUAGCUUUCAAGUCAUGCAAAAGUGCGACGAAGUAAGAGUACUAAAAACUUCAUGGAGACAAUAUGAUUUUCUCGAGCAUUCUGCUAAUGGCUGUAAUAUAUUUUUCGAAAAUUACCCAAACCAUGUGUGAGGAAUGCAUACAAGAAAUAGCUACCGACAGAUUGAGUGAUUGCUGCAGCAUGCCGCCACCCUUCCCAAUAGACAGUUCACGUGAAUGCUUCAGGAAAGCUCGACGAACUCAUUCUGCUGCUAACUACGUCAUACAUCUUUGCCGGAUGGAAUGCUAUUAUACAGAAUUAGGAAUUAUGAGUGAUGAUACGCUUUACAUGGAUAAAGUGAAAGAAUAUCUGGAGAAAGUAGAGGACCCUGCACGAGAAUUUUACGAAACUGUCUUUCAAACCUGUGAUGAUGAGCUCAUGACGAGAAAUAACAACUUCGCAGUAGCAAUAUGCAGUUCACAUGCAGCCUUACUCGAGCAAUGCGUAGAAAAGAAAAAGAAACCGCAAUGCCCAAUGGAAUAUUCCAAAGAGAGCGAACUUUGCAUCAAAGUGAAAAAAGGAUACAAAUUUUGCCGGCAGUGAAACGAGUCGUAUAUAUUCAGCGGAUUCACUAAACAUAUUGUGCUGUUUUCAGACGAAAUAACAAAUGAAAAUCUCUUCUGAAAUAAUAA
Aedes aegypti (yellow fever mosquito) is the source of this 672-nucleotide long non-coding RNA. RefSeq lists it as uncharacterized. The record is from RefSeq and is a predicted model, not a curated record. The transcript is spliced from 3 exons. Lineage: Eukaryota; Metazoa; Arthropoda; Insecta; Diptera; Culicidae.